Molecule: ribosomal RNA, 490 nt
Filed under: uncultured bacterium
Lineage: Bacteria
Description: partial 16S ribosomal RNA
Rfam family: Bacterial small subunit ribosomal RNA
Source: RNAcentral
GAUGAACGCUAGCGAUAGGCUUAACACAUGCAAGUCGAGGGGCAGCAUGGUCUUAGCUUGCUAAGACUGAUGGCGACCGGCGCACGGGUGCGUAACGCGUAUGCAACUUGCCUCACAGAGGGGGAUAACCCGUCGAAAGACGGACUAAUACCGCGUACACUUGGGAUAGGGCAUCCUGACCCAAGGAAAUGAAAUUCGCUGUGAGAUAGGCAUGCGUCCCAUUAGCUAGUUGGUGAGGUAACGGCUCACCAAGGCGACGAUGGGUAGGGGAACUGAGAGGUGGAACCCCCACACUGGUACUGAGACACGGACCAGACUCCUACGGGAGGCAGCAGUGAGGAAUAUUGGUCAAUGGGCGAGAGCCUGAACCAGCCAAGUCGCGUGAAGGAUGACUGUCUUAUGGAUUGUAAACUUCUUUUAUACGGGAAUAACAAGAGUCACGUGUGGCUCCCUGCAUGUACCGUAUGAAUAAGCAUCGGCUAACUCCGUG